AACAUGAUUUCUGCCAAGAGCUUACAACCUAAAAUAGAGAAAUAAAAAUCCCAGGUAUAAGAUGGAUAAAGUGUGGCAGGAAGGAAAAAAGGUAGAAUGAAUAAUAUGCUGCACUUCAUCACCUACACAAAACCUUAGCAUGUUGUACAAUACCUUUUCAAGGCACUUAAUUAAUAUUAGUUAAAAAAAACAAAUGAAUGAAUGACUUGGAAAUAUGACUUCUUAGUCAUUUAUCAGUAGCAGAGUCCAUUGACAUUAAUAGAGCUUCUUUGAAUUAUUCUUGUCUCUGGCUAUGUUUAGAUUAUUGACAAUUCCUUAUACAUCUAGUUCUGUAAGUACAAAGUAUGCUAUUAUAUGUUGCAUCAAAAAUAUAUUCUUUCUAAACUAGUAUACACGCAUCCUUAAACACAGCAAACAAUAGCAAUAAUACAUUUCUCUGUAUGCUUCAAUUCAUGAAACUACCAGUGAUGAAAAGGAUGGUAUUUUGAUAAUAGCAUUACAAUGUGGUAUCUGUGGGUGGAUCUAUGACUCAGAGAUUGGAUUUUCUUCUCACCCAAGGUGCUUUUGAUAAGAUCUCUUAAAAUGCAAUAACUUUCUCAUUUCAACUAAUUAUUUUUCUCUGUAAUGUACUAAGAACCCACUCUUUUCUCAUGCUAAGUAUUAAAGUUGGGCCAUCCAGAAUAAUAUUCUUGAAAAAAAAAAUCUGAAAGAAAAUUUGGAAGGGGAGAAAGUGUGAAAUAGAAAAGGAUUUUCCAACCCUGUAAAACAGUUCCAACCUUUUAGCAGGAGCAUAUAAUGACUUAAUAAUAAUAAUUUAACAAUAAUCCAUUUUCCAAGGCAUGUUCACAAAUCUAACCUAGCCUGUCACAUGAAACCUGUGAAGGAGAGACCAAAUGAUUCGCCUAAAAUCAAAGUGGUAGGGUGCCAUCUCAAACCCAAAUCUCCAUUGUUCUUUUCACUUAUGUCUGAGUCUUCAAGUCAUUGUCAUUACAAAAUUAUGCACUGUCAUCACAAAAUUAUACAUCUAGUAGAUAAGAGCUCUAUAUCAAGAGUCUAGAUGAAAAUCUUAAUUUUGAACUUUUUCUCAUAUUACUUUUCCUCUGCUGCCAAAAAGAAAAGUUAUACUUUUAUUUUCUCAAUUUGGUAAGUAACCAAACUUCUUACAACUUCAAAGCAAUAAAAUUUCAUUGGCCACCCUAAGCAAUAAAAUAAAUAGUGACUUGCUUUUCUACUUUUGAUUGAAAUGAGACUUAUAUAAACAAGAAGUUUUAUGAGAUCUGGAAGUAAACAUGUAUUUUUCUUGUACUAUUUGUCUCCCCAUGAUCCACAACUUUGUGCUAAUUUUCAAUGCUACAAUGAAUCACAGUCCAAAAUUAAGGUUUAUCCUAACUACAAAAAAAAAAAAAAUGAAAGGAGAUACUUCUCAACUAAAAUUAUAUUUGUUUAUUUAUAGAGUAUGCGACUGUGUAGUACUCAAAAUCUAAUACAGAGAAAACUAUGCUUUAAUGUAAAGCAUAAAAAGCCUAAAUAUUUGUAUAUCAAUUGUUCAAAUGAAAAUGAAAAUGAACUAUAAAACUAAAAAGUUGGAGUAAUUUUUAAAAAUAAAGCCAGAUGAAAAUAAAUAAAUAAAUAAAGCCAGAUGUCAGUCUUAAGAGUGACUUGACUUAUACUAUUUUUAAGUUACGAAACUAAGAAAACUGCUCUCUUUGGGCAAAGUAUUAUAACCAUGGCAUAGUAGUUUUUAGAAAAUUGGGUGCCAGUCCUGGAUCCACUACUAAUAAGUACUUUAUGGGCUCAGUCUUAGCAUCCUCAUUUGCAAAAUAGUAGGUUGGGACUAAGAUAUUUUUCAUAUCUGAUGUUCUACCAUUCUAAAUUCCUUUGCAAGGACUUCUAACUACUGUUAGAACCACAUUUUUAUUGAUUUCUCAAUGUUGCAUAUUUUAAUGAGAGAUGUUUCCAAAUAGUGAAAUACAUCACAUCAAAUGUCUGAAUUGCACUAAGUUUACAAUGCACUUUUGACAUACAACAUCUUGUUUAGUCUAA
RNAcentral lists this long non-coding RNA (2043 nucleotides) under Canis lupus familiaris (dog). Its description in RNAcentral is "lncRNA (ENSCAFG00000057672.1)". Lineage: Eukaryota; Metazoa; Chordata; Mammalia; Carnivora; Canidae. The record is from RNAcentral.